Molecule: ribosomal RNA, 450 nt
Filed under: uncultured bacterium
Lineage: Bacteria
Description: partial 16S ribosomal RNA
Rfam family: Bacterial small subunit ribosomal RNA
Source: RNAcentral
GUGGGGAAUAUUGGACAAUGGGCGAAAGCCUGAUCCAGCCAUGCCGCGUGUGUGAAGAAGGUCUUCGGAUUGUAAAGCACUUUAAGUUGGGAGGAAGGGCAGUAAGUUAAUACCUUGCUGUUUUGACGUUACCGACAGAAUAAGCACCGGCUAACUUCGUGCCAGCAGCCGCGGUAAUACGAAGGGUGCAAGCGUUAAUCGGAAUUACUGGGCGUAAAGCGCGCGUAGGUGGUUUUGUAAGUUGGAGGUGAAAUCCCCGGGCUCAACCUGGGAACUGCCUCCAAAACUGUAUGACUAGAGUACGGUAGAGGGUAGUGGAAUUUCCUGUGUAGCGGUGAAAUGCGUAGAUAUAGGAAGGAACACCAGUGGCGAAGGCGACUACCUGGACUGAUACUGACACUGAGGUGCGAAAGCGUGGGGAGCAAACAGGAUUAGAAACCCGUGUAGUCC